AGUGAACGCUGGCGGUAGGCCUAACACAUGCAAGUCGAACGGCAGCACAGUAAGAGCUUGCUCUUACGGGUGGCGAGUGGCGUACGGGUGAGGAAUACAUCGGAAUCUACUUUUUCGUGGGGGAUAACGAAGGGAAACUUACGCUAAUACCGCAUACGACCUACGGGUGAAAGCAGGGGAUCUUCGGACCUUUCGCGAUUGAAUGAGCCGAUGUCGGAUUAGCUAUUUGGCGGGGUCAAGGCACACCAAGGCGACGAUCGGUUGCUGGUCUGAGAGGAUGAGCAGCGCAACUGGAACUGAGACACGGUCCAGCCUCCUACGGGAGGAAGCAGUGGGGAAUAUUGGACAAUUGGAGCAAGCCUGAUACAGCCAUACCGCGUGGGUGCAGAAGGCAUUCGGGUUGUAAAGCCCUUUUCUUGGGAAAGAAAAGCAGCAGGUUAAUACACCGCUGUUCUGACGGUACUCAAAGAAUAAGCACCGGCUAACUUCGUG
RNAcentral lists this ribosomal RNA (492 nucleotides) under uncultured bacterium. RNAcentral's name for it is "partial 16S ribosomal RNA". It matches the Rfam family "Bacterial small subunit ribosomal RNA", at positions 29 to 507 of the family's 1533-position model. The record is from RNAcentral.